This 450-nucleotide ribosomal RNA is filed under the name uncultured soil bacterium. RNAcentral's name for it is "bacterial SSU rRNA". It matches the Rfam family "Bacterial small subunit ribosomal RNA", at positions 26 to 518 of the family's 1533-position model. The record is from RNAcentral.
AGAGCGAACGCUGGCGGCAGGCUUAACACAUGCAAGUCGAGGGGCCGUAGCAAUACGGCACCGGCAGACGGGAGAGUAACACGUGGGAACGUGCCCAUCAGUUCGGAACAACCCAGGGAAACUUGGGCUAAUACCGGAUACGCCCUUACGGGGAAAGAUUUAUCGCUGAUGGAGCGGCCCGCGUCUGAUUAGCUAGUUGGUGAGGUAACGGCUCACCAAGGCGACGAUCAGUAGCUGGUCUGAGAGGAUGAUCAGCCUCACUGGGACUGAGACACGGCCCAGACUCCUACGGGAGGCAGCAGUGGGAAUAUGGACAAUGGGCGCAAGCCUGAUCCAGCCAUGCCGCGUGGAUGAUGAAGGCCUUAGGGUUGUAAAAUCCGUUUACGGCGGGGAAGAUAAGUGACGGUACCCGCGAGAAGAAGCCCCGGCUAACUUCGUGCCAGCAGCCGC